Molecule: unclassified non-coding RNA, 360 nt
Filed under: soil metagenome
Description: partial contains 5.8S ribosomal RNA, internal transcribed spacer 2, and large subunit ribosomal RNA
Rfam family: 5.8S ribosomal RNA (bases 1-120)
Source: RNAcentral
GAUGAAGAACGUAGCGAAAUGCGAUAAGUAAUGUGAAUUGCAGAAUUCAGUGAAUCAUCGAAUCUUUGAACGCACAUUGCGCCCGCCAGUAUUCUGGCGGGCAUGCCUGUUCGAGCGUCAUUUCAACCCUCAAGACCCCUUCGGGGGACUUGGUGUUGGGGACCGGCUCAGGGGCCUUGCGCCCCUCGCCGCCCCCGAAAUGAAUUGGCGGCCUCGUCGCGGCCUCCCCUGCGUAGUAGCACAACCUCGCAACGGGAACGUGACGGCGGCCACUGCCGUAAAACAACCCAAUUUUAUUAGAGUUGACCUCGAAUCAGGUAGGAAUACCCGCUGAACUUAAGCAUAUCAAUAAGCGGAGGA